AUUGAACGCUGGCGGCAUGCUUUACACAUGCAAGUCGAACGGUAACAGGCCGCAAGGUGCUGACGAGUGGCGAACGGGUGAGUAAUGCAUCGGAACGUGCCAGUCGUGGGGGAUAACGCAGCGAAAGCUGUGCUAAUACCGCAUACGAUCUAUGGAUGAAAGCGGGGGACCGUAAGGGCUCGCGCGAUUGGAGCGGCCGAUGUCAGAUUAGGUAUAUGGUGGGGUAAAGGCUCACCAAGCCAACGAUCUGUAGCUGGCCUGAGAGGACGCCCAGCCACACUGGGACUGAGACACGGCCCAGACUCCUACGGGAGGCAGCAGUGGGGAAUUUUGGACAAUGGGCGCAAGCCUGAUCCAGCAAUGCCGCGUGCAGGAAGAAGGCCUUCGGGUUGUAAACUGCUUUUGUACGGAACGAAACGGCGAGCUCUAAUACAGUUUGCUAAUGACGGUACCGUAAGAAUAAGCACCGGCUAACUACGUGCCAGCCGCCGCCGUAA
RNAcentral lists this ribosomal RNA (497 nucleotides) under uncultured bacterium. RNAcentral describes it as "partial 16S ribosomal RNA". It matches the Rfam family "Bacterial small subunit ribosomal RNA", at positions 30 to 523 of the family's 1533-position model. The record is from RNAcentral.